Molecule: ribosomal RNA, 279 nt
Filed under: uncultured bacterium
Lineage: Bacteria
Description: partial 16S ribosomal RNA
Rfam family: Bacterial small subunit ribosomal RNA
Source: RNAcentral
UGCCAGCCGCCGCGGUAAGACGAACCGGACAAACGUUAUUCGGAAUUACUGGGCUUAAAGAGUACGUAGGCGGCCUUGUAGGUUGGGUGUGAAAUCCAGCAGCUCAACUGCGGAACUGCGCUCAAAACCACAAGGCUUGAGGGAGACAGAGGUAAGCGGAACUGAUGGUGGAGCGGUGAAAUGCGUUGAUAUCAUCAGGAACACCAGUGGCGAAGGCGGCUAACUGGACUGAUACUGACGCUGAGGUGCGAAAGUGUGGGGAGCAAACAGGAUUAGAUA